Molecule: non-coding RNA, 61 nt
Filed under: Palpitomonas bilix
Lineage: Eukaryota
Source: RNAcentral
UAGUAAGUGAUAGAGUGCGCGAGAGUGUGCGUGUAACGGCCGUUUGAAUACGUGAGUGAGA